GUAGUGUUUGGUUACGGAAUAGAUUUUGGAUGAAUGAGAAAAAGUUAUCCAAAUAAGUAUGGAGUGUAUUUUUGUACAUGCAUGCAUCUAGCUGGAAUCUUAUUGAAAAUGGAAGCAUAUGGAUCGAUUAGGAUCUAUAUGAAAUUUUUAGCCAAUGCUCAUUCUAUAUGUGGUCCCUGAUUUGUUGGAAUAAGGUUUUCCUAUUUGGUUGGAUGGACGAAUGAGGAAAAGUUAUCCGGAUAAGUAUGGAGUAUGUUUCAGUACAUGCAUGCUUUUAGCUGGAAUCUUAUUGAAAAUGGGAGCAUAUGGAUUGUUUUGGAUCAAUAUGAAAUUUUUAUUCCAUGCUCAUUAUAUAUUUUUUCCUUGAUCUAUAAUAUAAGACCAUUUGGUGGAAUAAGUUUUUUGUGUGUUUGGUUGGAUGGGUAAGUUUGGAGGUUAUUCUAUUAUGAUAUUGUUUGGUUGAAGGAAGAAUUUGAGGGAUAAUUUGUUUUUUUUUUUUUGGUUAGGACAAAACUGCCCUUACACCAUUUGUGAAAAAUGGUCAAGCAUAACGAGGUGAGAUUGAAUGUGGGUGCAACAACCGCCAACCAUGCCCCCUCGCCUGUGCCUCAUGAAUUUGUAGAAUAUAGUUUGGUCACAAUUGCCCAUAUAUUGUUUAUGUAGAAAUGGUUGUAUGGAUGUAUAUUGCCAUGUGGCAGUAUUGUGAUGCCUACCGUACACACUCCAAUUCAUCCACUGCAUGAUGUUUGGGCCUAGGGACUUAUUUUUGGGGGGGACAAAGUUGGCCUGCACUUUUUAUGCCAAAAAUGGCUACAUAGGAGUAUUGCCUUGGGGAGAUAUAGCCAGUCUUGCAAACACCUUCCAGCCACCCCCUUUCUCUUGGAUUGGCCACAUAUGACCAUAUGGUUGCCCGGCUUUGAUAAUAUUGCCAUCAGCUCUCACUUGUAUAAAAGUGACUAUUUAAGCAUUGGAUUCUUUCUAGCUAGGAUGAGGUAAUGUUGAUAACAGCAUGCUGAAAUUUUGGCGAGCACAUGUAGACAUACAUAUGCUAUCAACCUGCAAAGUAUCAUGUAACAGAAACUAUGAUCAUGUGAAAAAACUGAUCGUAUCACGUAUACAUGUGAGUAUAAAGGAAGAUAUAAUAAAGUAUAGACCAUCCACCCUAGGUACUAUGAUGGGAACCUUGCAAACUAUCUAUAUAGUAUUUGACUUGUGGGGUACACCUGUAACUCAACACAACGUUUCUAAUAAAGUAGUAUAAAUAGCUAGGUCAUCAUGCAAGAAGCUGGAAGAUAAGAAGAACCAUGCCAAGCAGGAAGACACGGACCAUCAUAUGUAUAAUGCGGUGUGUAACAGGAGGACAGGUGCAAUGUCAUGAUAAGUGCAGGAGGUGGACUACCACAAAUUGGCUUUUCUAGGGAGUGGUGAUGCCAAACAUGAUGGUGUGAUAAGCAUGAGUGGCUUCCUCGAGUGUUUGAAUUUCGCACAUAGAGCAUACCAAUGGCCACUGACCUGCCGCUAACACUGGGGCCACAUCUUUUAUAUCCUCCAAACAUGGCCGAUGAGCACCACAUGGUGUCCUCUUUGGAGUGCACUGGUUGGUUCCUUGUCAUAAACAGUUAAUAUUGUAACAAAGAAGACAUGCACGAUGAAAGAAAAAAAAGAGCAAUACAGGAAUGGUGGCUGGUUGAACAGCAUAUCGCCUGACUGCUCAGCCCCUCCCAUGUCUCUAGACAAAUGCUCUGGCGUGCUUGUAUGUGCCUACCGAGAUGUCACGGUCCUCAAGAUCACUAACAUCUUCAUCCAGGAGUGGUGGGUUAAACCUCAUUUUGAAGUACCUAUUUUUGCCCUGGUGGCAACGAAUGAAGCUAUGCAUGACAAAACAGGUUAUAACAAUAUCACAUUACAUCCUUAACUUGUAGGGUGCGGUCAUCUCAAAUAUCUUAAACUGGUGCUUAAAUAUUCCAAAUGACUUCUCUAGGACAUUUUAUAGUGGUGCAUGUUGGUUGUUGAAGCAGUUCACAGGGAACCUGUGUUGACUGGUUCCCAACUCUAGGGUACUCGUUAAUGUGAUACUUAAAGUUGCAACAGGGAGUUAGGAACUUGUCGAUGUUUGCAUACCCUGCAUUAACCAGGUAAACUUUCCCUGCACAUAUGAUGCAAUAAAACUUGUUUAAGACAUACUUCACAUAUGAUUCAAGUGCAAGUCUUGCUCAUUAAGCUGUGGCUUAAGUAACCUUCAAGUACCACAAAUCCUUGAUUUAUCAAGGCCUGUCAUGAGACCCUCAUUUUAGCACAUUUCUCACAACCCAUGGCAACAUAUAAGAAUGUAUGAUCUAAUGAGCAGGAUGCUAUGAUGUUGUGUGAGGUUCAGCCUUCUCUGUUCAGAUAACCUGGUCAGAGGUCAGGAUGUGGUUACCAUCGGUGCAUCCUAUGCAGUUCUGCAAGGGGGGAAUGUACAGCAGUUUAAUAUUGUGAAUCAAAGCAGUUCUCAUCAUUUUUUGGCACAUGAUUUACCUUGAAGGCAGGGUAGAAGUUUGGGUUGUCAUGGAUGCGAGUGUGCUAAGGCACAUUGCUGUUUGGGGGACUAUAUACUCAUACUAGAGAUGCUUUAUAGCCUUCAGCACAUGGUUGAAGUGGUAACCGAUUGUCUCUCCAGAGUGCUGGAAGGUCUCAAUGAGCACCAGAUUCAUGAACUAGUGAUCUAUGCUGAAAGGAAGAUGGCUAGCUGCUCGUAAGCAGUGACAUGCUUCCUAUCGGUUAUCCAGCCUCUGGACACAAAUUUGUCACAUAGUGCAUAGAAUAUAAUGGUGGUCAUCCUAAAAUAGUUGUAUCCACAAUGUGGAUGAUCAUUAAGGAUGUCCUAUAUGAGCAUGUCCCAUGAACAGCCUCAUUCAACAUGGCAACCUCUCAAAAUGUGCUGGCAUGACAGGGACAGGGAAUAACAAUUCAAAAGUCACAUCCCAUAGUCAGUUGUCAUCUCCAUCCCUGCACCAUGUGUCUAUGAUGGUUGACAAGAAAUCCAUAUCCAUCCCAGGACAACAAAGCUUCUGGUUAAUAGUCAAACAAUAACAGAUAAAUAGAUGAUUAAUCCACAAAUAGAAUGAACAUUGGCAAAUAAUAUAAUAACUUAUGGAAGUAUUCUAGAAAUAGUAAUCCAAUAAGCAUAAAUAUAUCAACAUGCUGCAGUGCCACAUGUCCAUCAGAAAUAGCAGUAGCCCAUAUUGGCUACAACGAAAUAAGGGCUGUCACAUGAGUGCAAACUACAAUAAUAGAAGGAUGUUCCAACAUAUAUGUAGUGGCAACAUCAGAAAACUCGGAGCACAUAUGAAGGUGUAUCGUGCUAUCAAUUUGUUGCCCUAGGGUGGAAUCACUACAGGCCAUACAACUGCUCUUCUUGUCCUCAGAUAUCUAGAACAAGAUCUGCUCAACAUCAGUUGGGAGUGGAUCCAAGGUCCUGCGAAUCCUCUUUGUGCAGUCCCCAAUGGAUGGUUUCUAGUUCUCCACUUCAAUUCUUCCAGUUCCAACUUCUGUCUAUCAGCUUCUGCAAGACUGUUCAAGUAGGCUGGAUGGAUCAUUUGCCCCUUCUUGCACGGGUUACAUCAGAGUCAGUGCCCUAGGAUGCCUUUUUCCCUGAUGUACUGCUCCUUGCCACACUGUAAGCUGAUAUCCUUUGACUGUGGAUAUGACUAGGUGUACGUGUCACCAAUUUGCAUAAUAGAAUUUUGAUUUAAUGUACGGACUUCAUGGAAUCUUGAUUUGCCCUUGGGUUGCUUAUCAUUUGCUUUAUCGAGCUUAUUAAAAAUGCCGCCACAGUUAAUUUUGCUUUGGAUUCAUGAGAAUUUCAAUGGUUGAGAUGGAAUGUUUAUGCCUAGAUAGUGCCCACUUUCUAGAUGGCAAAUUAUCCAGUGUCUGCUAAUCUUUGGCUGGUGCAUUGAUCUCUAGGAUAGGGUAUGCCAAGAUUGGAAAAUGGCCAGACCUGAUAAGAAUGAUAAUUUAAGGUCCAUUUGAAGGUGUCUGGAAGGAAAAUGCUAGCAAAAGAGGGUAACUAUCUGGUUAAGGUUUAAAAGGACAUUGUCUUUCUCUAGUUAGGUUAGAAUGCUGCUUAGGCCCGAAGACCUCUGAAACAUUCUUUUGGAUCUAUGCAUGUAUCAUAAGGGAUUAUAAAAUUUUAGAGAAGCAUCAUUGAUCACUAGGUCAUAUGUGUAUGUUGGAUAUGUAAUAGUAGGGACUUCGCCUUCAAUUUUUUUGUCAACUUACAUAUUCUGCACUUUGGAAGAUUCCUCCAUAAAAGGGAACAGUUGCUCUAAGGUUAACAUGGGAACCUAUAUGGAGUUGGAAUUCACAUUGCUGAGAGGGUGGAAGAUCUUGAGGAAGGAUGACAUCAGCUGGAACUGUAGCCCAUAAUGAUGGCAAACUGCUUAGUGUCCCCAAUACCUAGGAGCAUUGACUAUUAGCAAGUAACCAUAUAUAUUAAGGUUAGCAAAUAAUCCGAUAUAUUAAAACUAGCAAGAAACCCAAUAUACUAAAAGUAACAAGUAUUUUGGUUCAAUAUAUUAAAAUGGUAGGCUUUCAGAAACCCUGUCUGCUUAUUUGAGUACUGUCCAUAAUUGGAGAGGGGUGUCUAUCAUAUAACCAAGCAACCAAAAGACAAGCAGUUUGUUCUUAACUACUGUAAGACAUACUUGCACAUAGGCAAUCUGUCUCCUCUUUCACUUAAAUUGACAUUUUAUUUUCAACCCUAGGGCUGAUCACAUUUAAGUUAUGGUCAAUUGUUUCCUCAAAUUAUAACGUCCACAAAAAUCUUCUUUGACUAAUCCUGUUAUUUGAGUUCUCACUGGACUCCUGACCCUUAAAGCUGUCAAAACAGAUCCUAAGGCACCACUUUCUGUUUGAUUCCUUAAACACUCAAGGCCAUCUAAGCGACAUGCCUGGUCGGGUUUCGGUCGUUAUAUCAUAGCAACCUCAUAAAGGAUAAGCUUAUUGCUUCUAACUUGUUAUCUCCUGCCAUACUUUCAUAUGUGAUACAAUUUGGCAUGCCAUGCAGGUUCAUGGGCUAAAGAAGCUGUGCUUAAAAGAAAUUUUUGUACUCUUAGGGCCUAUUUCAGAAACCCAGCAGAAUUGGGCUGGAUUUUCCUAUAGGAAUUGGGCCUGUUAGCCUGCCGAGUGUGUUGUUUCUAAAGUUCCGUCCUAGUUUCGACCUAAGUCCCAUCUAUGGGCUUGUUGGACUGCAAGAUGAAAAAAACACCUAUGGAGGUCCAUAGGACUUUUUUUCCCCCUCAUAGGAUUUGGGCUGGAGAGGGAUUAGGUUGAUAUGGGUCUUAAAUAGACCGUGUAAUGCAUGAUCCUAUGGGAAAUCCAGCGCAGUUUAAUGCAUGAUCCUAUGGGAAAUCCAGCACAAUCCCACUGGAUUUCCAAAACAGGCCCUUAAUGGUUGCUUUUGGAUGCACUGUUCUGGUGAUCUUAUAGCUAUUGCCAAAUACUUGUCUUUUAUAUAUGGUAUUUGUUGACCAUUGAAUUUGAUCCAUGUUGGAUGAAGAUCAUCCAACCAUGACACGUUGUACCAGUGGAUGGUAACAAAAUCUUUGGUAGGUACCAUAAUAUUUGUUGUGGUAUAUGAAAUAAUAGAAUGAAGAAUGAGAACUUCAGAUAAAAACUUUUACCUAAAAACUAUGGAUUAUAAAAAAAAAAAUCACAUAAAGGAUACCAGGGAUUUUGUGUCUGUCCUUUGAUUUGUAUGCAAAACAAUUCUAAUUUUCUAGUCUGCUGCAUCCCUAAAUAAAUUCGAAUUUUGAUGUUCUGUUUCAGUGAGGUAUAUCCGAGACCGGUAUUGUUGACUGUAACUAAAAAGUUGUGGCUGAUGAUUCUGCAAAAGUUUUGAAAUUACACGUAUUCAACUUCUGAUUGUCAUUGCUUCUAGGAUUAACUUGCUUCAUAGUGUUACCUUGAGCAAAUUCCCUUGGGCCUCUGAUGAGAUUCAUUGCACAUGUGAUCUCUACUAUAUUCCUAAAAGGUCUGAGACUAUGGCCUGUGACCCCACUAUGUUGUUUAAGUUGGUUGUGCCUUGUCUGCAGCUUGAAACUUAAAGUUACUUCUAUCUUAUUUUUUUCUUUUGCCUCUGUACCCAUGGUUUCUUAGUCCAAAUAACUUCAUUUUGUUUCGAUCAUCUUUAUUCUCAGCUACAGACUCUUUUAGGGUCCCCUUAUUCUGCAUAUCUUGAUUUUGUUUUAGAUUCCUUCUCUCUUUCAAUGCAUACAUUGUUGAUCCAAAGAUCAAAUCUCCUUAAUCAGUUGACAUAUGGUUGACAGCCGGUUGAAAAAAUGUCAAUAACUAGGAAAUGGAUCCAAAUUUGAUAUGUGCAUUGAUUAGGAUGUUCCCUGACUUGGGAAUGAUAUGGAGGGGGCCCUAAAUAGGAAUACUUGGUGAAUGAUGAUUCAUAAAGCUGGGCCAAAUAGUGGGGAAAAGGCUGUAUAAUGGUUGUGGUUAGGGGCGUACCUUCAGCUGACACAAUAGCUAUAAGGAUCUAAGAUCACCUGGCAUGAACACUUAAACAUAAGCUUGAGAAAUAUCUUCCCACUCCUUGAGAAUGGAAGAUAUCACUGUUAAAACCCAGAUAUUGCAUCUAAAUAUUUUGGGUAUUAUUAUUGUGUCCAAAAUAUGUGCGAUGGAAAUUCAUGACCCACUUAGUUUUCCAGUUCUUGAGCAGUGUUCUUGCGAGCUAAGUAUUUGCUAAUGGAGGUAUGUCUUGAACUAGCCCUUCACCUCUUUUUUUUGUGCAUUUACUUUAGGUCUUGCAGUACUUUAUUCAUACAGAAGCUCUUCUUAUGUGACAUCUGUGAUGAAAUGGUACCUGUCUUGUCAUGCUGCUAUUUAGGUUUCUACUCCCAUUGGGGUAAGGCUCAGGUGCACCCUUAUAUAAAUCAGUUACGUGAAAAUUCUUUUUACUUUGCCAAUCUUUUGUGCAUUUACUUUAGGUCUUGCAGUACUUUAUUCAUACAGAAGCUCUUCUUCUGUGACAUCUGUGAUGAAAUGGUACCCGUCUUGUCAUGCUGCUAUUUAGGUUUCUCCUCCCAUUAGGGUAAAGCUCAGGUGCACCCUUUUAUAAAUCAGCUGCUUCAAAAUUCUUUUUACUUUGCCAAUCUCCCUUGCUGGUGUGCUGGUUUAUAAUUUAAUUGACUGAUCAUUCAGAUCUCAUUACUUCUCGCAUGUGCAUUUACUUUCAUUUUUUCUCAUAGCAUAAUCUUGAUGUAUACCUCAGUCUUUACCUCCUAAAGACAUUUAACAAUUAUUUAAUUUUAAGUUUUUUUACUAUAGACUGGAGAUGACAAUUGAUCAUUGUUUUCUUUUGUUGCAGUGUAAAGCUAUUUAGCAUUGGAUUUGCUGGAUGCAGGGGAAUGAUAGUUCAUUAUGCUGUUCCAUACAUGUUUCCGGCACUAAGGAUAGUUUAUUGAUUCUAGCUGCUGCUUAUACUUCUCUCUAGUUUCCUGUUUUAUCUUACCUGGUCAUCUUAAUGGUGACUUGUCAGUGUCUGGUCCCAGCUGGUUUCCUGGCUGUGGUCUGAUGGGUUUUAAUAUCAGCGUACAACUUGAUCUUAACUUUGUUAGUUCCAAAACCUUUGGAUAAGGGUGGGUGGGGUGAGGCUAACUGACUUAUCUUCUCCACCGUUCUCAUCUGACCAAAUUUCUCAGAGCAGACUGUUAUGACAACUGGAGCUUAGAUUUCACAAUUUCCUGGAAGAAUUGAAGCCACAGUUGUGCUGAAUGAUAAAUGUUAUUGCAGUAUACGUCCAAGAGUGAUUUGGAUUUUCUAGAAUGUCAUUAGAAUUCUGCAAAUGUCUAUUAUUACGGUCUAAAUUACUAUUGGAUGCAGAUUUUCUGAUUCAGUGCCUAGUUUCUUUUCAUUUAGCAGGGAAACAAACUAAUCAGAACAUCAGAAUGAAGACAGCAAGAGUUUCCGCUGCAAUUAAGUUUUCAAACUCAUUUUGGGAUUUGCUGCUUUGCUUUUAUGGUAAAUCUUUUGCUGCAGGAGUUCAGUGACAAAUGCUAGAACAAGAAAGGUGCUUAAAUUUAGGUCUAGCAGCUAUUUGUUUUUCCAAGCAUGGUUUACGUUGAAAUUUUUCAGUUCGCAGUUUAUGAAAGUCACUUGCCUGUGUAUGUAUGAAUUUGAGCUGAAAAUGGAUUGAAUGCAGAUCAGAUAUCAGUAUAUUUCUAUUUCUUUCCAAAUCCAAAUGCAGAAAUGGAUAUUAUUUGGAUGAAAAAUUCAUAUCCAUAUGUGGUUUAGGCUGAUACGGAUACAAAUAGGGAUGCUGAAAGUAUGCUUCUGUGGCCAGAAAACUGAAGUUACUAUUGAGUAGAAGGUGUACAUAAAGCCAUUAACAUGCUAAUAUGAUUAUUUAUUUCUUGUAAAAGUUUAUGUAUGCUAUACAAGAUUAAAUAUAAUUACAAACAAAAUUGAAUAUUAUCCGUAUCCAUAUUUAUAUUCAUUUUUUUUUUAUGGAUACGGAUAGGGAGAUAAGUUUGGAUAUGAAAAUAGCGGUGUUACCGUGUCUGCUUUUGCUCUUAUUUUGAGCUUAUAGGUUGCCUAUUGAUUGGUGCGUAGGUCUGCUUAUCUUCUUUAAUAUUCCUUGCGCUUCAUAUUUUACAAGUUUUUGUUUUCUCCUAUUCCUGCUUGGGUGAAAUGAUCAGAGUGCUUCCUCAUCUACAACAAACCAUGGUGGUAUUGAUUUAAACAAUCACCUUACAGUCCGCUAACAAAGGAUCUGAUAGUAAAGUUACAUGGCUACCUAAGAGAUAUAAUGCAUUUGCUGACGCUCUGAUGAUAAAUCAUCAUCAACCUUAAUGUUGGGCAAAAUAAUUCAGGCUGGUUUCCAGAUCUGGUGCGGUUUGGGCCUGUUUAAUACACACCAGGCAUCGGAUGCGGUCGCUGUGAGGCAAAGGCGGUAUUCGUCGGCCUUGUGAGGAACUCAACAGCUAUACUUGGGAUGGCUGACUGAUUUCGGAGGGGCUUGGCGGCCUGCAAUUGCAAUCCGUUUGCUAAAAGGAAAAAAAGGGAAAAAGAAUAACCUGGGUUGGGAUGAAUGGAUCAUAAUAAGACUUUGAAUUUCUGUUAUUGAGAGGGAAAAAACAUCAGAGAGAGCCCUGCUUGGCGUGACUGGAUCACAGUAAAGUUUACAAAUGAUAUGGUAUCCGUAAUAUCGGAUCCCCACUGAACAUUUAUCAACUGUUGUAAUAGUCUAAUAACCGUUAUCACGAAAACCAAUUUUUCAAAAUUUUAAUAUUAAAAUAAUUACUGAACAAUGAGUUUUAUAAUGGAAAAUAAAGGGUAAUAAUGGAAAAAUAGCACUGUUAUCUUCCUUUUGUUUUUCAUUAGAUGAAAUAUUUUUUUUUUUUUUGGCAUGAAAAUCAUUUUUUGAGUAAAUAUUAGGGUAAAGAGUAUUAAUUUUGUAAAAAAAAAUAUUAUAUUUACUAAGUAAUGAAAAUAAUGGUUGUUAUUUACGUUAUAAUUGUCUACUAUAAUGAAAAAUAAGGGAAAAUAACAGCCAUUAUAUAUUUUUUUACUAUUUAUCUUAGUAAUGUAACCAAGGAUGAUGCAAACCAUCGUAAUGGCUAUUAUAAUGGUUGCAGUACCGUUAUUUAAGAUCACGUCCUAUAUGUUCUAGGUCGAGACAAUAAGUUUGACCCAUGUGUCCGUAAUCAAUAUUAUCUUCACUUUGAAUCUUUCAAAGAAGUUCCCAUCACCAUAUCAGGGAUGUCAUUGGAGUGGAUUCGGUAUGCUUAAUUAAAAAAAAAGAAAUUGGAAUUGAAAUCCACCAACGCCCUGCGAAAUCAAAAUUUUCAAAAAGAAACUAUAGCUACUCUAUAAUUUAAUAAAUAUUUUUGUUAUUCAUUUCUAAAUUUUUAUAUAUAAUAACCAAAUUAAAGAUAUCAUCCGUAAUUUUUAUAAUAUAAUUCAUAUCAAUUCAUCUAAUAAAGGAUAUUAAAGAUAUUAAAUAAUCGGAUAUGUUCAGUUUUAGAAUUAGGUUUCGAGUUUGAUGAUAUGUUUGAUUUGUGAUUUGAUUUUGGGUUGAGGAAUCAUCAAAAUCAUAACCAAAACUAGAACUUGAUGAUCUUUAAUUUUUAAACAUCCGAAAUCAUCAUUCCAAUUUAAUUUCUUUUAAAACAGUCCCGUUCAUAUAGAGGAUAGGUAAAAUACUCAGAUAUUCAUCUCUAUUGACAGUCCGGUUAUGAAAUCUUUUACUUCGCACUACACCUACGCCCACAAAACCAAAAACAAGAAGGAGAAGAAGAAGUAAGAGAGAAAAACAUAACUUCCAAUGCUUGCUGGACCUCUAGACAAGAAAGCCCCGAUCAUGGGGGAGCCUCACGUCAAGCAGCAAAAUUUGAACGUUGAAAUAUUGUCUAUUUUAAUGAGCUCCUUGUAUUAAGAAUAUGAACGAAGAUAUCAAUUCAUCUUGUUUGAGAUACAUAGGAAAUUUUUAAGAGAAUUAAGUUGUUGAUGUGUCGAAGUCUAUAUAGUAAAUCCUGCAUCAACAAUUUUUCGUGAGCUUUGAUUUUUGACAUAUAUUUAUUACAAAGUUGUUCAAUUAAGUUAAAGAACGGUUGAAACAUCUUGGUCAAAUAUUCUGGUUAUCUCAAUAUACAUAAGCUGAGAAAAUAAGCGGUUUACUUACAGAUACAUUGUAUGAGAGGAAGUAUAUGACUGGUACAAGCCAAUAGCGUCGCCGAGAUCGAUGGAACCUGACAAGCAUCCGAUGUCUGACCUUCCAUCAUCCAAAGCUGAUAAUUCAACAGCUGACCUACCUACUGCUCCUGUGCAUCUUGAUCAUUUUCUCAGCUUCUAAUACCUACCUCAUUUUGUACGGAGCUACCCCAUCACAGGCUCUAAACAUGCUUCUUCCAUACAUCUCUCUCUUGUCAAGCCGUGCUUAGCUCAUUUUCCAGGUUCCCCCGUUCUCACGUACUUUCUGUAGCUACAC
RNAcentral lists this long non-coding RNA (10975 nucleotides) under Elaeis guineensis (African oil palm). RNAcentral describes it as "long non-coding RNA (EGUI_LNC015796)". The record is from RNAcentral. Lineage: Eukaryota; Viridiplantae; Streptophyta; Magnoliopsida; Arecales; Arecaceae.